RNAcentral lists this unclassified non-coding RNA (383 nucleotides) under soil metagenome. RNAcentral's name for it is "partial contains 5.8S ribosomal RNA, internal transcribed spacer 2, and large subunit ribosomal RNA". The stretch from base 1 to 120 matches the Rfam family "5.8S ribosomal RNA", at positions 35 to 154 of the family's 154-position model. The record is from RNAcentral.
GAUGAAGAACGCAGCGAAAUGCGAUAAGUAAUGUGAAUUGCAGAAUUCAGUGAAUCAUCGAAUCUUUGAACGCACCUUGCGCUCCUUGGUAUUUCGAGGAGCAUGCCUGUUUGAGUGUCAUGAAAUUCUCAACCUUUCUGGCUUUUGCUAGUCAGGCUUGGAUUAUGGGAGCUGCUGGCUUUUGAAGUCGGCUCUUCUAAAAUGUAUUAGCAAGAUCAUUGCUGCUCAUCAUUGGUAUGAUAAUUAUCUAUAUCAUUGAGAGUCAGUUUCCUUUAUUGGAAGAUUUUGCUCCUAACGGUCUUUAGCAAGACAACAUUUGACGAUUUUGACCUCAAAUCAGGUAGGACUACCCGCUGAACUUAAGCAUAUCAAUAAGCGGAGGA